GCGAAAAUAUCUUAAUGGUAAAGAUUCACCUUGCCAUGGUGAAAGCUACGAGUUCGAAUCUCGUUUUUCGCU
RNAcentral lists this transfer RNA (72 nucleotides) under Candidatus Carsonella ruddii HT isolate Thao2000. Its description in RNAcentral is "tRNA-Gly (GCC) (tRNA-Gly-GCC-1-1)". It matches the Rfam family "tRNA". Rfam says of the family: Transfer RNA (tRNA) molecules are approximately 80 nucleotides in length. Their secondary structure includes four short double-helical elements and three loops (D, anti-codon, and T loops). The record is from RNAcentral. Lineage: Bacteria; Pseudomonadati; Pseudomonadota; Gammaproteobacteria; Oceanospirillales; Halomonadaceae.